AGAGUUUGAUCCUGGCUCAGAUUGAACGCUGGCGGCAGGCCUAACACAUGCAAGUCGAACGGUAGCACAGAGAGCUUGCUCUCGGGUGACGAGUGGCGGACGGGUGAGUAAUGUCUGGGAAACUGCCUGAUGGAGGGGGAUAACUACUGGAAACGGUAGCUAAUACCGCAUAACGUCGCAAGACCAAAGAGGGGGACCUUCGGGCCUCUUGCCAUCAGAUGUGCCCAGAUGGGAUUAGCUAGUAGGUGGGGUAACGGCUCACCUAGGCGACGAUCCCUAGCUGGUCUGAGAGGAUGACCAGCCACACUGGAACUGAGACACGGUCCAGACUCCUACGGGAGGCAGCAGUGGGGAAUAUUGCACAAUGGGCGCAAGCCUGAUGCAGCCAUGCCGCGUGUAUGAAGAAGGCCUUCGGGUUGUAAAGUACUUUCAGCGGGGAGGAAGGGGAUAAGGUUAAUAACCUUGUUCAUUGACGUACCCGCAGAAGAGC
RNAcentral lists this ribosomal RNA (490 nucleotides) under Klebsiella oxytoca. Its description in RNAcentral is "bacterial SSU rRNA". It matches the Rfam family "Bacterial small subunit ribosomal RNA", at positions 8 to 490 of the family's 1533-position model. The record is from RNAcentral. Lineage: Bacteria; Pseudomonadati; Pseudomonadota; Gammaproteobacteria; Enterobacterales; Enterobacteriaceae.